GGGCUGCAGCUUCCUGCAUGAUGUUGUGGAGCUUGGCGCCUGACCCAGGAUAUAGAAGGCACUCUGGGCAGGCCGCGCUCCGCCCACGAAGGUACCCAACCCUCUGGGAUAGAUGCAGGAACGGAUGGUUUAACCACCAAGGACUCUGAGAGCUGGCAGGUCUGAGUAACCCUGGUAACAAUUCUCUUCACCUUAUCAAAACCUGAGCUAAAACCAAUGCAUCAGCUGAUGAUGACAGCAGAGAGUGGCAGGGCUGAGGACCCAAUAUUCAUUUCCCAGGCUGGCGGAGAGUUUUUUUCUCAGUCAACUGAAUUCUUUUUCUCCACUUCGUCUUGCCACUCUUAAUGCAUGCAUGAGAUGCCCUAAGAUAAUUUCUGAUGGCCUGGGACUCCUUGGGAAAAAAAUGAAAAGGCACCACAGAUUCCAUUUUGGGAGAAACCUCCAUUUUCCUCAUGAAACCCCAGGAAUUAGAGGCAGAUAAACUGCCAGGGAGAAGAAUAAGAAGACAGGAGACAAACUGUUUGGAAAGCUAAAUCUUCCCUCUUAAUGAGUAAAGGUUUUUGCCUUGUCUUAAAGUUUCUGAGUCCUAAUUUUGGCAAAAUAAAUAACUUAUGGUAAUGUGGAA
Long non-coding RNA from Pongo pygmaeus (Bornean orangutan), 625 nucleotides. RefSeq lists it as uncharacterized. The record is from RefSeq and is a predicted model, not a curated record. NCBI's taxonomy places the organism in Eukaryota, Metazoa, Chordata, Mammalia, Primates, Hominidae. The transcript has 4 exons.